AAUCUUUUUUUUUUUAAAACAACACUUAAGGUUGCUAUUUUUGAUAUAUUUCAUACAGGGUACGGACAUUUCUCCUGAACACAAGUUGCCUCCUGGUUGUCAGAUGCAGCAAGGACUUCUGAUUGUUAAGUGUCUCUGAUGACAAAGGCUCUCUCACACAAGGAAGGAAGGAAAGUGCCAUUCGUAAGAUCCUGCCCUAAAGUUAUUCUGCAAAAUGAGGACUUUUUUCCCCUGCCUUUUGUCUGCUUCAACUGUGAAUGAGACCUAAGACUGCAAAAUUCUCAUUGAGUGUUCCAGUAUUACGAAUGUUUUUCAAGAGUCAUGAGAUGAAGAAACAUUCUCCUUUUCAAAAGACAGGUGAAAUCUUCAUGUAAACAUUGGUUUUCAUCAACUGAGGCUUAAGGUAAAAUACCAAAUGUUGGAAGAUUCCUGAUGAAGUCAUGCACACUGACAAAAUAGCUUCACAAUUAUCAGGAGACGGGCUGAGUUGGGAAGGUCCCAGGGAGAAUACUGAAAGAAAGUUUUCUGGGGUGUGUUUCUCUUCUACACAUACUUCCAAGAUUUGGUCAUCUUGGUCUUUUCCUUACUAGGAGAUCAGACUUUGCCUGGUAUGUAUCUAGACUUAUCUGGGAGGCCACUUUAUUUCCCUGCAGGUAGACAACAUUAACCACAAUUACAAAAAUUUCUUGUCUCAAUCUUCACUACCUGGGGCCAGCACAUUCAGGGCCUGUGCUAUGACUCUGCAGUAUUUGGUUGGCUUCAAGAUUUGCUACCUGUCCUUGUAUUUUACAAGUGAAGUACAGUUUACUGUCAAAGCCACCAGGAUAGAAAGAAUUUGAGGCCAUUUGCCUUAUUUUUGUGCAGCCCUGUUUUGAAGGUUCACUGGUUGUUCUGUGAGCUGCAAACACCACCUGUGUCUCUGGAGUGCUACCUGUCUGAAGAGGUCAGCUUGCCACAGCUGCAUUCCCCAGUGUGACAUUAGCAGGGGCAGGAGGGGCACAAAACAAAGGAAUACGUAUGCCUGAAGCCCUCUGAUGCUCAAAGUACCAUUUGUAGUUCAUAAAGAAGUCCAUUUCGUAGCAUGUUCAUAAGCGAAGUUUCUGAAACUUCAAAACAGUAAAAAACAUAUUUUAUUGUAUGAUAUCCUAGCAGCUGUCAAGGACCCAGACUGAGAGGAUGUGUAUGGUAUCCCCAUUAGAGGUUUGCAUUGGUGGUGACACUAGUGGCUGUAACUUAUUCUUGGAAUAUUGGUAGAUAUAAUACAGAAUCCAGUAGUGGAAAUUAUUCAAGUCAUUAACAUGCCAAAUGAGGCUCUCUUCCUAUUGCAGUGUUCAUGUUGAACAUUGCUAUUAUCUUGAAUAAAAUGGUUGCCUCUUUCUAAGGGGAAAAAAGAGGGGAGAGGUGAAGUGGAGGAACAAGUGAAGUUAAGUCCUCAGGGAUGAAAAAAAUUCCAGUGUCUGUUGUGUCUAAAAUGUUUCUUGCCUAAGUUUUCAGUAGACCAUUAAAUAAAAAACUACCUUUUUUUAAGUCUUCUACACAAGAGCAGUCAGGUUAAACCAUUUAUUUGCAAAGACUGGAUGCAUAAAAACUUGGGGAAGUAUGCAGGUGUAAUCACAGCAUAAUAACCUUACCUUUAACUUCGGCUUUGUUUAUUUUUUAAUACUGUGGGGGUUUGUUACUUUUUUAAUCCAAAUGGUUUUGAAAGAGUAGAUUAAUGUUUGUC
Long non-coding RNA from Aquila chrysaetos chrysaetos, 1723 nucleotides. RefSeq lists it as uncharacterized. NCBI's taxonomy places the organism in Eukaryota, Metazoa, Chordata, Aves, Accipitriformes, Accipitridae. The record is from RefSeq and is a predicted model, not a curated record. The transcript has 4 exons.